RNAcentral lists this ribosomal RNA (370 nucleotides) under Vibrio harveyi. RNAcentral's name for it is "bacterial SSU rRNA". It matches the Rfam family "Bacterial small subunit ribosomal RNA", at positions 86 to 459 of the family's 1533-position model. The record is from RNAcentral. Lineage: Bacteria; Pseudomonadati; Pseudomonadota; Gammaproteobacteria; Vibrionales; Vibrionaceae.
CGGCGUCGAGCGGCGGACGGGUGAGUAAUGCCUAGGAAAUUGCCCUGAUGUGGGGGAUAACCAUUGGAAACGAUGGCUAAUACCGCAUAAUGCCUACGGGCCAAAGAGGGGGACCUUCGGGCCUCUCGCGUCAGGAUAUGCCUAGGUGGGAUUAGCUAGUUGGUGAGGUAAUGGCUCACCAAGGCGACGAUCCCUAGCUGGUCUGAGAGGAUGAUCAGCCACACUGGAACUGAGACACGGUCCAGACUCCUACGGGAGGCAGCAGUGGGGAAUAUUGCACAAUGGGCGCAAGCCUGAUGCAGCCAUGCCGCGUGUGUGAAGAAGGCCUUCGGGUUGUAAAGCACUUUCAGUCGUGAGGAAGGUGGUAUUG